Long non-coding RNA from Oncorhynchus tshawytscha (Chinook salmon), 399 nucleotides. The record is from Ensembl. Lineage: Eukaryota; Metazoa; Chordata; Actinopteri; Salmoniformes; Salmonidae.
AUUCUUUUAGCUCUGCAACUAUGUCACUGCCUUUGCCUUGCUUCCUCUCACGCCAUUGAUCUCUGUGUUUCAUUAUGAUCUAUGAAUGCUUGGAGAGUUUACCACCUGACUUGCCCAGCUCUGCUCACAUGUGAGUCCCAUCAUGUAUCCAGACCUGGCCCUCCUCAAACCUGCUCCCUGGGCCCCUGCAGCUGAUGGCUCUGUGUUCCUCCCUGAUCCCUCACAUCUGUUUCAAUUAGCUUCCUUACUAUAUAGGAAAUGCAUCUCAGUGCUAUUGGCUUCACUACAGACCCUGGUUCGAUUCCAGGCUGUGAUUCACAACUGGCCGUGAUUGGGGGUCCCAUAGGGCGGCGCACAAUUGGCCCAGCAUCGUCCGGGUUAGGGUUUGGCCGGGGUAGG